Molecule: non-coding RNA, 150 nt
Organism: Caenorhabditis elegans
Lineage: Eukaryota; Metazoa; Nematoda; Chromadorea; Rhabditida; Rhabditidae
Source: Ensembl
UUUUUUGCGAACACACUACCGCAAAGUCGGAAUCAACAGUAAAACUUUAGAUUCGUUGAGAUCUUAAAGUUCUUCCUUUGAGAUGUUCCUAUUAAUCCAUUAGUUACCGUCACUUUUCCGUUAUUACCAGUAUAAUGACAGAGACAAAAC